This 406-nucleotide ribosomal RNA is filed under the name uncultured bacterium. Its description in RNAcentral is "partial 16S ribosomal RNA". It matches the Rfam family "Bacterial small subunit ribosomal RNA", at positions 28 to 526 of the family's 1533-position model. The record is from RNAcentral.
GAUUAACGCUGGCGGCGUGCCUAACACAUGCAAGUCGAACGAAGUGGCGGACGGGUGAGUAACGCGUGAGUAACCUGCCUUAGAGAAGGGGAUAGCCUUUGGACACGAAGAAUAAUACCCUAUGCUCUAUGAUGGACUUGCGUCUGAUUGGUUAGUUGGGGGGGUAACGGCCCACCAAGACAGCGAUCAGUAGCCGGCUUGAGAGGGUGUACGGCCACCUUGGGACAGGGACACGGCCCAGACUCUACGGGAGGCAGCAGUGGGGAAGUUUGCACAAUGCGGGAAACCCUGAUGCAGCGGCGCCGCGUGAUUUAGAAGGCCUUCGGGUUGUAAAAAUCUUUUCUAUGGGAAGCAGUACCAUAGGAAUAAGGACCGGCUAAUUACGUGCCAGCAGCCGCGGUAAUUC